RNAcentral lists this long non-coding RNA (809 nucleotides) under Mus caroli (Ryukyu mouse). RNAcentral describes it as "predicted gene 16120 (MGP_CAROLIEiJ_G0003800.1)". The record is from RNAcentral. Lineage: Eukaryota; Metazoa; Chordata; Mammalia; Rodentia; Muridae.
GUGAGAGGGGCCGGAGGCUCCGCCAGCACGGUGACCCUGGGCGAGGCAGGGAGGCAUCACGACAGGUGGAGGUGGUGAUGCAGGCCUUUAAUCCUAGCCGUUGGGAGGCAGGAGCAGGAGAAUCUCUUGAGUCCAGGACUGCAGAAGAGGCUGAGAAGCUCAACACCCCUGGCUUGAUCCUACUCAUGGGUAGGACCACGGAAGAAACCUCAGCCCCAGAGCAGUCACGAGAAUCAGUCUGGAAAUAGGUCAUCUUCCACAUGGACUUACACUAUGGCAGAGACACUGUCCCCCGAAGCAACCCCAGUCCUCAAAGUCUAUACAAGACACAAGCAGGCAGCUGCAAGAUAUAGGCAGAGGGACCCUGCAGACAGCCACAACUAUGCAAAGUAUGUCUCCAAUGGCAAAGAGGCUACUGCAGCCACCUCUGUGGGAGUUAAGGAAAAGUCGUAUCUAUCACCAACACUUCAGAAGAAGAAGGCUGUCUCACCAUCCUCACUUCUGGCCAUAAAACAUCUCCCUUAAUUCUGUCCCAUGUUAAAGUUCCAUCACACCAAUGAGAAUAUCAAGAAACAUCACACAAUACAGAAAACAACAUGGAGCCCACAGAGAAGAAGCAAACACAAUCCAAGCCCACCCCACCCCUACUCCAUCAAUCAGCUCUGGGGUUAGAGAGAGCUGCCACAGGAAGACAGCUGCGGAAUAUGAACCGGAUGGAGCUCACCACAGCCUCUCCUUGCCCUUCCAGCCUCCAGGAUGGUAACAGACAGGUUUCUGUGGAGUGUAAGCUGACAAGAUUAAUGCAGAUU